This 377-nucleotide ribosomal RNA is filed under the name Salmonella enterica subsp. enterica serovar Anatum. RNAcentral's name for it is "bacterial SSU rRNA". It matches the Rfam family "Bacterial small subunit ribosomal RNA", at positions 1 to 374 of the family's 1533-position model. Lineage: Bacteria; Pseudomonadati; Pseudomonadota; Gammaproteobacteria; Enterobacterales; Enterobacteriaceae. The record is from RNAcentral.
AAAUUGAAGAGUUUGAUCAUGGCUCAGAUUGAACGCUGGCGGCAGGCCUAACACAUGCAAGUCGAACGGUAACAGGAAGCAGCUUGCUGCUUCGCUGACGAGUGGCGGACGGGUGAGUAAUGUCUGGGAAACUGCCUGAUGGAGGGGGAUAACUACUGGAAACGGUGGCUAAUACCGCAUAACGUCGCAAGACCAAAGAGGGGGACCUUCGGGCCUCUUGCCAUCAGAUGUGCCCAGAUGGGAUUAGCUAGUUGGUGAGGUAACGGCUCACCAAGUCGACGAUCCCUAGCUGGUCUGAGAGGAUGACCAGCCACACUGGAACUGAGACACGGUCCAGACUCCUACGGGAGGCAGCAGUGGGGAAUAUUGCACAAUGG